RNAcentral lists this transfer-messenger RNA (373 nucleotides) under Gammaproteobacteria bacterium RIFOXYA12_FULL_61_12. It matches the Rfam family "transfer-messenger RNA". From Rfam's summary of the family: Bacterial tmRNA, also known as 10Sa RNA or SsrA, is named for its dual tRNA and mRNA-like properties. Its role is to liberate the mRNA from a stalled ribosome. The record is from RNAcentral. Lineage: Bacteria; Pseudomonadati; Pseudomonadota; Gammaproteobacteria. RNAcentral also lists the same sequence under 2 other names.
GGGGCUGACUUGGCUUCGACAGCGUGAUGGAAGUUCCAGAUGCAGGCCGAGGUGCGGUGACCUCGUUAAUCAGCCGCAAAAAACUAGUUGCCAACGACGACAACUACGCACUCGCCGCUUAAACCCCGGUAGGGUGCCGUCUGGCCGGAGCCGUGCUUGUGCGUCCGGUGCUCUUCGGAGCAACCCAGGCGUCGAUUCUCACAAGAUCGCGAUGAAGCACGUCCGGGGCCGACUCGCUAAAACUAACGGAAUCGCCGUUUCACAUGCCCUGUCCGUCGGACGGUAAGCGGCUAAAACCAAAGACUGGAAUAAGCCUGUAGAUUUUGGCGCGGAAGCGCGUUGGACGCGGGUUCGACUCCCGCCAGCUCCACCA